AUUGAACGCUGGCGGCAGGCCUAACACAUGCAAGUCGAGCGGAGCGGCGGACGGGUGAGUAAUACCUAGGAAUCUGCCUGAUAGUGGGGGAUAACGUUCGGAAACGGACGCUAAUACCGCAUACUAUCAGAUGAGCCUAGGUCGGAUUAGCUAGUUGGUGAGGUAAUGGCUCACCAAGGCUACGAUCCGUAACUGGCCUGAGAGGAUGAUCAGUCACCCGGGAACGGGAACGGGGUCCAGCCGCCUGCGGGCGGCAGCAGUGGGGAAUAUUGGAAAAGGGGCGAAGGCCUGAGCCAGCCAUGCCGCGUGUGUGAAGAAGGUCUUGGGAUUGAAAAGCACUUUAGGUGGGGAGAGGUAACCGACAGAAUAAGCACCGGCUAACACGGGGCCAGCAGCCGCGUAAUUC
This 406-nucleotide ribosomal RNA is filed under the name uncultured bacterium. Its description in RNAcentral is "partial 16S ribosomal RNA". It matches the Rfam family "Bacterial small subunit ribosomal RNA", at positions 29 to 526 of the family's 1533-position model. The record is from RNAcentral.